ACUUCCAGGGGAGCGGCGCGGCGGCGCGGGAGUUGGCUCUGAAGAGUGGCGAGUCAGAAGAGACAUCAGGCAGCCAGCAACUUGGGCCAUGGCCUCUGACCUAGACUUCUCACCUCCGGAGGUGCCCGAGCCCACUUUCCUGGAGAACUUGCUACGGUACGGACUCUUCCUGGGAGCCAUCUUCCAGCUCAUCUGUGUGCUGGCCAUCAUCGUACCCAUUCCCAAGUCCCACGAGGCGCACACUGCAAGUUAUCACUCAGAGGAGGAGAGGACACUAGACAGGAGCACACGGAGCCUGUUCCAGAUUCUUCUCUGACAUGAGCCUGAGUGGCCUGGGCCAAGCUGUGUCCCUUCGCUGGAGUCUACCUUCCUUAUCAGCACAGUAAAGGCCAGGGCUGGAUCUGUGGGUUUGAACCUUUUAUUCCUUAGCAGCAGAACUUUGUUUCAUUUAAAUCUUACAAGGGACAGAUCACAGUGUAUGAAAUAGAUUGAAAAUCAGAGCUGCUCCUGUCGCCAGGGGAGUCUGGAAUUCUGCCCCAAGGCUCUCUGCCCUCCCCCACAGAGGCACCUCUGCCAGGCUCCGCAGAACACAGUGUGGAACUGCGUACCUGCUGGCGGGCCCUCUGUACCCCUCCCAGCCCUGGCAUUCUGUGGGUUGAAUGGGAGGACAAGAAUGGCAGCCAGAGGAGGGCAAGCCACAGCGAGUCUGCCCCACAGCCAGCUCCUCGCCCACAUUUUGUCCAGUCCCUGACACAGGAUGAUCGGCCAGCCACUGGAUGCAGCUGGCACUUCCUGGCUGCUUUCCACGUAGUUUUGCCUCCUCACAUCAGUCCUGUAAGGCGGGCGUGGCUAUUUCCAUUUCACAGGAGGCCGAACCGUCUGAGCCCAGAAGUGCUGAGGUGACGAGGAAGCCCAAGGCUGCUGUUCCUUCUGUGAACAAGAGGCCCAAGAAAGAGACUAAGAAGAAGCGGUAGAAGAGGAGGCCCGAGGAGCCGGGCAGGCAGGGAGAGGGUCUUGGGGACAGCCCUCCUGGGAAUCUACAUCCUGUUCCCCCCCAUCCCAGGCUCGGGAUCUGAGGAGGCUGUGACGCCCUCGGACCACAGAGAUCUAGACAGUCAUGACAGUCCCUAGGCUCCAGCUCGGCAAUCCAUCACUUCCUCUUCCUUCUGCUUCUGUGACGGUUUAGAGUCAAGGGGACUGAAACUGUGAGCAUAGACUGUAUUAGGUUUGUUCAGAAGCCAGUUCAGCUCACAGAGUCACAUUUUCUUAAUUAGUCAUGUGUCCAUCCUUGAGUCGCCCCCUCCUUGUGGGUUUACACUACAUUUUGGCGUCAUUAUCUAACGCUGACAAGCACACCCUCUCCCCUUAUUUGUGCACUGCAAAUCUCCUGCUAAUCAGUCACUUUUGUUGCUGCUGUGUAGACAGAGCCAGGCCUCACCUGUUUGUUUAGGCCAAGAUGCCAUGGCCACGCAAUGUUAGUGAUCCCACUGGCUGCGACAGCCAGGCCCAGAAAAUGCCUGGCGUGAGAGCCAGCAGACGGCCAGGCCAGGGUAGGCAGUGCCUGCUUCUGCUCCGUCAGGUGCAGGGUAUUUGGCUGAAGGUGUGCAUAUUUCCUGGGCACAAACUUCCUGAGCCUCCGAAAUGGGAGGCUCAUCAAUUUCAGACCAACCUCUUUUCAACCCAUCAUAGCACAUUCAAGGUGUGCCUUUUACUUCUACUUGUACAUCCCCCAUCCCUUCAAUUCUUUAAUUCCCUGACCAGUGAGCGAGUUCCUGGGGGAAGUGUGAAUAAACUGACAUGCAAGCUUCA
This is a long non-coding RNA of Macaca mulatta (Rhesus monkey), 1809 nucleotides long. Ensembl annotates it as mannosidase beta like. Its record names the gene MANBAL. Lineage: Eukaryota; Metazoa; Chordata; Mammalia; Primates; Cercopithecidae. The record is from Ensembl.